CACAUUGAACCUUCGGGGGAUUUGUUGGGCGGCGAGCGGCGGACGGGUGAGUAAUGCCUAGGAAAUUGCCCUGAUGUGGGGGAUAACUAUUGGAAACGAUAGCUAAUACCGCAUGAUGCCUACGGGCCAAAGAGGGGGACCUUCGGGCCUCUCGCGUCAGGAUAUGCCUAGGUGGGUUUAGCUAGUUGGUGAGGUAAGGGCUCACCAAGGCGACGAUCCCUAGCUGGUCUGAGAGGAUGAUCAGCCACACUGGAACUGAGACACGGUCCAGACUCCUACGGGAGGCAGCAGUGGGGAAUAUUGUACAAUGGGCGCAAGCCUGAUGCAGCCAUGCCGCGUGUAUGAAGAAGGCCUUCGGGUUGUAAAGUACUUUCAGUCGUGAGGAAGGUUCAUGCGUUAAUAGCGUAUGGAUUUGACGUUAGCGACAGAAGAAGCACCGGCUAACUCCGUGCCAGCAGCCGCGGUAAUACGGAGGGUGCGAGCGUUAAUCGGAAUUACUGGGCGUAAAGCGCAUGCAGGUGGUUAGUUAAGUCAGAUGUGAAAGCCCGGGGCUCAACCUCGGAAUUGCAUUUGAAACUGGCUGACUAGAGUACUGUAGAGGGGGGUAGAAUUUCAGGUGU
RNAcentral lists this ribosomal RNA (620 nucleotides) under uncultured bacterium. RNAcentral's name for it is "bacterial SSU rRNA". It matches the Rfam family "Bacterial small subunit ribosomal RNA", at positions 63 to 676 of the family's 1533-position model. The record is from RNAcentral.